AAAGAAAACUGAAUAAUACUCUAUUUUUCUACAAUGAAUCUAGAAGAAAAAGAAAAGACCAAAUAUAGGAUUACUUGAAUGAGACAAAAAAGAUGGAAUUUGGAGGACAAGACAAGAGAUACUAAGAAGAGUAAACCCAAUAAACAGACUGCAGCACAGAAAGGGUCCAGGACCAGGGAGGUGGCUUGUUCAGGAAAGAGUUAACUCAACAGGUCUGGGAUAUUCAAAUCCCACACAUUUCGAAAAAAAGUUCUCUCCUCAUUGGCUCCUGGGAGAAAAUCUCUACGUCUUUGGACUAUUCUUCCAGAUUGGAGACUGAAAAGAAGAGAAGUUAAGGAACUUGUCUAAGAUUAUCAAGCAAAAAUUUAAAGCUGAAGUUUCAAUAUUUUCUCAGAAAACAAGAAAAGUUAGUGAUCUCAUUAUAGAAGGACUAAAAGCCUGCAAAGUAUAUUUUUGUUAACUCCAAAGGACAGACUUUCAGGGCAGUUUACCAGGAGACAGCUUUUACAAUGAGUGCACUGGCAAGAGGAAGGAAAAAGCCAUUUUUGCUGCUUCAUGUGUUGCCUACACAGAGACUGUUACAGUGGCUUCAGCAGAGUCAGUGGUUGUGUCAACAGCAUCUGGAGCAGAGAGGGCAAGCUUAGUUCAUAUGAAGCAGCAAUAGCAACAGAAGAAAAGGCAGUGACAUCACCCUCAGCUUGUUGGAGGAGCCUAUGGGCCAGCUAAUGAAAAAUACAGGAGUCUGAAUAGCAGGGGAAAGCUCUGGGUGUCAGCAAUAUAUUCAAGUAGAGAUAAACAGAAGAAGAUGUGAAGAAGUCAAUGAUAGGGUAGUAGUUCUGAACUUACCUGGUGACUAUGCCAAAUGGACAAUCAUUCAGAAAUCAGGCUCUGGGAGGUUUUUCUAUCUUCAGUAAUGCCUUCUAAGGUUUUUUGGGAAUCAUCUCCAUUCCAGCUAAUGAGAAAAGGAAGAGAGUAUUUUGGGUGUCUGGGAUUUCCUCUCUGGCACUCAUUCUCCUGUCACCCUGUGAAGAGGUGCCUUCUGCCAUGAUUAGAAGUUUCCUGAGAACUCCCCAGCCAUGC
This 1080-nucleotide long non-coding RNA is filed under the name Homo sapiens (human). RNAcentral describes it as "HSALNT0315989". Lineage: Eukaryota; Metazoa; Chordata; Mammalia; Primates; Hominidae. The record is from RNAcentral.